GGUAGAGCACUGUUUCGGCUAGGGGGCCAUCCCGGCUUACCAACCCGAUGCAAACUGCGAAUACCGGAGAAUGUUAUCACGGGAGACACACGGCGGGUGCUAACGUCCGUCGUGAAGAGGGAAACAACCCAGACCGCCAGCUAAGGUCCCAAAGUCAUGGUUAAGUGGGAAACGAUGUGGGAAGGCCCAGACAGCCAGGAUGUUGGCUUAGAAGCAGCCAUCAUUUAAAGAAAGCGUAAUAGCUCACUGGUCGAGUCGGCCUGCGCGGAAGAUGUAACGGGGCUAAACCAUGCACCGAAGCUGCGGCAGCGACACUGUGUGUUGUUGGGUA
Molecule: ribosomal RNA, 331 nt
Filed under: Salmonella enterica subsp. enterica serovar Enteritidis
Lineage: Bacteria; Pseudomonadati; Pseudomonadota; Gammaproteobacteria; Enterobacterales; Enterobacteriaceae
Description: partial 23S ribosomal RNA
Rfam family: Bacterial large subunit ribosomal RNA
Source: RNAcentral